CAGUAGCCGCGGUAAAACGUAGGUGGCAAGCGUUGUCCGGAAUGAUUGGGCGUAAAGCGUCUGUAGGUGGCUUUUCAAGUCCGCCAUCAAAUCCCAGGGCUCAACCCUGGAUAGGCGGUGGACACUACCAAGCUGGAGUACGGUAGGGGCAAAGGGAAUUUCCGGUGGAGCGGUGAAAUGCGUUGAGAUCGGAAAGAACACCAACGGCGAAAGAACUCUGCUGGGCCGACACUGACACUGACAGACGAAAGCUAGGGGAGCAAAUGGGAUUAGAUACCCCAGUAGUCCCUGUCUCUUAUAC
This 301-nucleotide ribosomal RNA is filed under the name uncultured bacterium. RNAcentral describes it as "partial 16S ribosomal RNA". It matches the Rfam family "Bacterial small subunit ribosomal RNA", at positions 509 to 807 of the family's 1533-position model. The record is from RNAcentral.